RNAcentral lists this ribosomal RNA (245 nucleotides) under uncultured bacterium. Its description in RNAcentral is "partial 16S ribosomal RNA". It matches the Rfam family "Bacterial small subunit ribosomal RNA", at positions 524 to 762 of the family's 1533-position model. The record is from RNAcentral.
AUCGGGGGGGGCAGGUGUUACUCUUAGGGAUUGGGCGUAAAGGGCAAGUAGGUGGUCUUUAGUUCUUGGGUGAAACGCUCGGGAGAAGCUCUAGCAUACCCACGUACUGAUUUAAAUUAAAGACUUUGAGUUUUGUAAAGAGUGGCCGCACUUUCCAUUUAGGGGUUAAAUCCAGUGACAUUGAAAGGACGCGCAAAGGUGAAAACAGCUACUACGUAAAAACUGACACUGAGAGGCCAAAGCGU